UUUCUUGUCAAAUCCAAUAGUUUUUCAACAUUUUCCAGAUAAGAAAACCCAACAAAUCUCGUAGUACUUUAAAUACGAUAUAAUAUUUAACAUAAUUGAAAAGGAAAACCAAUUACUCCAAAAAUUCUUACGUCGCUGCCGCGGCUCCUCCGGUUCUGCUGGAAGCUGAUCCUUUGUAUCCUGUUGAACCGGAAAUUGGCGUCUUUGCUCUCGAAGCCAUUUUGCUUCUAGAACCGGAAGUCUGACUUUGCAUGGGGCUACCACCAGAUGGUGGCCGUGUUGAUUGCAUGGAAGUAAUCUGUUUCUAAUUAAUAGAAACGUUAAACGAUAAUUAUUUUUACUUCAAUAGAAUAUUUUCAAUAGAAUAUUUCAAAAAAAUGUUGUAAUAGAAGAAGGUUAAUUUUUCAACAGAAAGUUUCAGUCAAAGAAUUAUCAAUGUAUAUUAGAAUAUAACAGGGACUCUAAUAAAAUAUUGUUCAUAUAUGUUGCUUAUCGUUAAAUGAUGGAUUAACAAUUUCUUACAUCGCAUGAGGACACUGCUCUUGCAAAAUAGUUUAUUUUUAUUAGCUGUUUAUGAUACUUUUGCCUUAAUAAAUAGCUGGUAAACUGGUGAUUUUUCACAUGUGUCACACUUCUAGCAAACGAACGAUAUGAGAGAAGAUAAAAUGAGAAUAACAGAGGAGAAAGUAAAAGUAAUAAAAGUAUUCAAUUAUUCAAUGAUAUGAAAUGCACGAAAUACCUGUUGAUACUACUGUUUAAUUUUGUUGUUAAAAUUUAGCAAGGCGACUAGAAAAUUUCGCUGUUGCGAAUAUUUCGAUUAAUCAGAAAUUGGAGGAAGAGGAAUCCAUGUGCAAUGAAAUCGCUGGAUUUCCCGGGUUAAAUAACGUCAAAGAGCAACAGACAUUUUACUCUCUAAAGCUUUCUACUUACUUCUCACAUACCAAACUUCAAGCUGUGGCAGAAAAAUUGCACACGAUAUUCGAUUGAAAUUAUCUUUGAGACCAAAAGCACAUCAUUCGAGGACCAAUUAUGUUUAUAAAUUAAUACAAUAAAUUUGUGAAGUUCCUUUCUUGUAUUAUAUGUCUAGCUAUGCGAGAAUUACAAUUAGGAUACUUUUAUUAAAUUCGAUUACAUUUUAUCACAUGCUUUUAUAAUAUAAAUUUUGUCUGCAUUUAGUAACAAAGA
Molecule: long non-coding RNA, 1185 nt
Organism: Bombus pascuorum
Lineage: Eukaryota; Metazoa; Arthropoda; Insecta; Hymenoptera; Apidae
Exons: 3
Source: RefSeq, a predicted model, not a curated record